AUGAACGCUAGCUACAGGCUUAACACAUGCAAGUCGAGGGGCAGCAUGAAUCAAGCUUGCUUGAUUGAUGGCGACCGGCGCACGGGUGCGUAACACGUAUCCAAUCUACCCAUGGCUCAGGGAUAGCCUUUCGAAAGAAAGAUUAAUACCUGAUGGUUUCAUGAGCCCGCAUGGACUUAUGAAUAAAGAUUUAUCGGCGAUGGAUGAGGAUGCGUCCGAUUAGAUAGUAGGCGGGGUAACGGCCCACCUAGUCGACGAUCGGUAGGGGCUCUGAGAGGAGGAUCCCCCACAUUGGAACUGAGACACGGUCCAAACUCCUACGGGAGGCAGCAGUGAGGAAUAUUGGUCAAUGGGCGAGAGCCUGAACCAGCCAAGUAGCGUGAGGGAUGACUGCCCUAUGGGUUGUAAACCUCUUUUGUUUGGGAAUAAAGUGAGCCACGUGUGGCUUUUUGUAUGUACCUUACGAAUAAGCAUCGGCUAAUUCCGUGCCAGCCGCCGC
RNAcentral lists this ribosomal RNA (499 nucleotides) under uncultured bacterium. RNAcentral describes it as "bacterial SSU rRNA". It matches the Rfam family "Bacterial small subunit ribosomal RNA", at positions 29 to 518 of the family's 1533-position model. The record is from RNAcentral.